This 458-nucleotide ribosomal RNA is filed under the name uncultured bacterium. RNAcentral describes it as "bacterial SSU rRNA". It matches the Rfam family "Bacterial small subunit ribosomal RNA", at positions 29 to 506 of the family's 1533-position model. The record is from RNAcentral.
AUAAACGCUGGCGGCGUGCAUGAGACAUGCAAGUCGAACGGACGAUCGAGGCUUGCUUCGAUCGUUAGUGGCGGACGGCUGAGUAACGCGUGGGUGACCUGCCCCGAAGUGGGGAAUAACUGCCCGAAAGGGUGGCUAAUACCGCAUGUGGUGAUGCGUUCGAUCGCAUCAGUAAAGCCGCAAGGCGCUUCGGGAGGGGCCUGCGUCCGAUUAGCUCGUUGGUGGGGUAACGGCUCACCAAGGCGACGAUCGGUAGGUGGUCUGAGAGGACGAUCACCCAGACUGGGACUGAGACACGGCCCAGACUCCUACGGGAGGCAGCAGUCGGGAAUUUUGCGCAAUGGACGAAAGUCUGACGCAGCAACGCCGCGUGAGGGAUGACGGCCUUCGGGUUGUAAACCUCUUUUGUCAGGGACGAUGAUGACGGUACCUGACGAAUAAGCCACGGCUAACUACGU